RNAcentral lists this ribosomal RNA (253 nucleotides) under uncultured bacterium. RNAcentral describes it as "partial 16S ribosomal RNA". It matches the Rfam family "Bacterial small subunit ribosomal RNA", at positions 524 to 776 of the family's 1533-position model. The record is from RNAcentral.
UACGUAGGUGGCUAGCGUUGUCCGGAUUUACUGGGCGUAAAGCGCGCGCAGGCGGUCGUUCAAGUCGAGUGUGAAAGCCCCCGGCUCAACUGGGGAGGGUCACUCGAUACUGAUCGACUUGAAGGCAGAAGAGGGAAGCGGAAUUCCCGGUGUAGUGGUGAAAUGCGUAGAUAUCGGGAGGAACACCAGUGGCGAAGGCGGCUUUCUGGUCUGUUCUUGACGCUGAGGCGCGAAAGCUAGGGUAGCAAACAGG